Molecule: ribosomal RNA, 372 nt
Filed under: Cronobacter sakazakii
Lineage: Bacteria; Pseudomonadati; Pseudomonadota; Gammaproteobacteria; Enterobacterales; Enterobacteriaceae
Description: bacterial LSU rRNA
Rfam family: Bacterial large subunit ribosomal RNA
Source: RNAcentral
GCGAUUUCUGAAUGGGGAAACCCGGUGCACUUCGGUGCAUCAUCGUUAGCUGAAUACAUAGGCUAACGAGGCGAACCGGGGGAACUGAAACAUCUAAGUACCCCGAGGAAAAGAAAUCAACCGAGAUUCCCCCAGUAGCGGCGAGCGAACGGGGAACAGCCCAGAGCCUGAAUCAGCUUGUGUGUCAGUGGAACGGUCUGGAAAGGCCGGCGAUACAGGGUGACAGCCCCGUACACGAAGGCACACAGGCUGUGAGCUCGAUGAGUAGGGCGGGACACGUGAUAUCCUGUCUGAAGAUGGGGGGACCAUCCUCCAAGGCUAAAUACUCCUGACUGACCGAUAGUGAACCAGUACCGUGAGGGAAAGGCGAAA